This 492-nucleotide ribosomal RNA is filed under the name uncultured bacterium. RNAcentral describes it as "partial 16S ribosomal RNA". It matches the Rfam family "Bacterial small subunit ribosomal RNA", at positions 29 to 507 of the family's 1533-position model. The record is from RNAcentral.
AGUGAACGCUGGCGGUAGGCCUAACACAUGCGAGUCGAACGGCAGCACAGUAAGAGCUUGCUCUUACGGGUGGCGAGUGGCGGACGGGUGAGGAAUACAUCGGAAUCUACUUUUUCGUGGGGGAUAACGUAGGGAAACUUACGCUAAUACCGCAUACGACCUACGGGUGAAAGCAGGGGAUCUUCGGACCUUGCGCGAUUGAAUGAGCCGAUGUCGGAUUAGCUAGUUGGCGGGGUAAAGGCCCACCAAGGCGACGAUCCGUAGCUGGUCUGAGAGGAUGAUCAGCCACACUGGAACUGAGACACGGUCCAGACUCCUACGGGAGGCAGCAGUGGGGAAUAUUGGACGAUGGGCGCAAGCCUGAUCCAGCCAUACCGCGUGGGUGAAGAAGGCCUUCGGGUUGUAAAGCCCUUUUGUUGGGAAAGAAAAGCAGCAGGUUAAUACCCCGCUGUUCUGACGGUACCCAAAGAAUAAGCACCGGCUAACUUCGUG